GAUUUCUGGUUCGGCGCACUUGGCCCGUCUCGGUUUACGGGAUUGCGUGCCGGUGUGCGCCAUCCAUCCUUCGGGAAAUACACAGCUACCCUUCACUGGGCCGGUUGUGCUAUCCCGAUCUUUUACUUUGAAAAAAUUAGAGUGUUUAAAGCAGGCUUUUUGCUAUGAAUACAUUAGCAUGGAAUAAUAAUUUAGGACUUUGGCCCUAUUUUGUUGGUUUCUAGGACUGAAGUAAUGAUUGAUAGGGAUAGUUGGGGGUGCUCGAAUUCAGCGGCCAGAGGUGAAAUUCUUGGAUUCGCUGAAGACGAACUCAUGCGAAAGCAUU
Molecule: ribosomal RNA, 325 nt
Filed under: Cercomonas sp.
Lineage: Eukaryota; Cercozoa; Cercomonadida; Cercomonadidae
Description: SSU rRNA
Rfam family: Eukaryotic small subunit ribosomal RNA (bases 105-325)
Source: RNAcentral